AGAGUUUGAUCAUGGCUCAGAUUGAACGCUGGCGGCAGGCCUAACACAUGCAAGUCGAGCGGUAACACAGAGAGCUUGCUCUCGGGUGACGAGCGGCGGACGGGUGAGUAAUGUCUGGGAAACUGCCUGAUGGAGGGGGAUAACUACUGGAAACGGUAGCUAAUACCGCAUAACGUCGCAAGACCAAAGUGGGGGACCUUCGGGCCUCAUGCCAUCAGAUGUGCCCAGAUGGGAUUAGCUAGUAGGUGGGGUAAUGGCUCACCUAGGCGACGAUCCCUAGCUGGUCUGAGAGGAUGACCAGCCACACUGGAACUGAGACACGGUCCAGACUCCUACGGGAGGCAGCAGUGGGGAAUAUUGCACAAUGGGCGCAAGCCUGAUGCAGCCAUGCCGCGUGUAUGAAGAAGGCCUUCGGGUUGUAAAGUACUUUCAGCGAGGAGGAAGGCGUUAAGGUUAAUAACCUUGGCGAUUGACGUUACUCGCAGAAGAAGCACCGGCUAACUCCGUGCCAGCAGCCGCGGUAAUACGGAGGGUGCAAGCGUUAAUCGGAAUUACUGGGCGUAAAGCGCACGCAGGCGGUCUGUCAAGUCGGAUGUGAAAUCCCCGGGCUCAACCUGGGAACUGCAUUCGAAACUGGCAGGCUAGAGUCUUGUAGAGGGGGGUAGAAUUCCAGGUGUAGCGGUGAAAUGCGUAGAGAUCUGGAGGAAUACCGGUGGCGAAGGCGGCCCCCUGGACAAAGACUGACGCUCAGGUGCGAAAGCGUGGGGAGCAAACAGGAUUAGAUACCCUGGUAGUCCACGCCGUAAACGAUGUCGACUUGGAGGUUGUGCCCUUGAGGCGUGGCUUCCGGAGCUAACGCGUUAAGUCGACCGCCUGGGGAGUACGGCCGCAAGGUUAAAACUCAAAUGAAUUGACGGGGGCCCGCACAAGCGGUGGAGCAUGUGGUUUAAUUCGAUGCAACGCGAAGAACCUUACCUACUCUUGACAUCCAGAGAACUUAGCAGAGAUGCUUUGGUGCCUUCGGGAACUCUGAGACAGGUGCUGCAUGGCUGUCGUCAGCUCGUGUUGUGAAAUGUUGGGUUAAGUCCCGCAACGAGCGCAACCCUUAUCCUUUGUUGCCAGCGGUCCGGCCGGGAACUCAAAGGAGACUGCCAGUGAUAAACUGGAGGAAGGUGGGGAUGACGUCAAGUCAUCAUGGCCCUUACGAGUAGGGCUACACACGUGCUACAAUGGCAUAUACAAAGAGAAGCGACCUCGCGAGAGCAAGCGGACCUCAUAAAGUAUGUCGUAGUCCGGAUUGGAGUCUGCAACUCGACUCCAUGAAGUCGGAAUCGCUAGUAAUCGUAGAUCAGAAUGCUACGGUGAAUACGUUCCCGGGCCUUGUACACACCGCCCGUCACACCAUGGGAGUGGGUUGCAAAAGAAGUAGGUAGCUUAACCUUCGGGAGGGCGCUUACCACUUUGUGAUUCAUGACUGGGGUGAAGUCGUAACAAGGUAACCGUAGGGGAACCUGCGGUUGGAUCACCU
This 1528-nucleotide ribosomal RNA is filed under the name Klebsiella aerogenes. RNAcentral's name for it is "bacterial SSU rRNA". It matches the Rfam family "Bacterial small subunit ribosomal RNA". RNAcentral also lists the same sequence under 8 other names. Lineage: Bacteria; Pseudomonadati; Pseudomonadota; Gammaproteobacteria; Enterobacterales; Enterobacteriaceae. The record is from RNAcentral.